Armigeres subalbatus is the source of this 648-nucleotide long non-coding RNA. RefSeq lists it as uncharacterized. The transcript is spliced from 3 exons. Lineage: Eukaryota; Metazoa; Arthropoda; Insecta; Diptera; Culicidae. The record is from RefSeq and is a predicted model, not a curated record.
CAUUUGCAUCAAAAUCGCGGACCAGUGUCGCAGUGGAAGUUUCGCCAAAAAUCUAAUGUCGAAGAUCGGCAAAAAUUACAAGUAUAACAAGUAAGUUUAAUUAAUUCGUCCCUUUGAAUAGUAUGAUAAUAUUCCAUCUUAAUCAUCCUAUAGGAGAAAUAGCAAAAGCCAUGAAACAAACAAGUCCACCAUCACGGGGUUUGCCACUGCAACGGAGAAAGUUCAACGCGAAUUCUGCGGUGCAAUAUCCACCACAUCUCUGUACCCAAAUAGGUGCACUUCAUGACCAGCAGGUUCUCCGCUAUCUGGAAUUCACCCAGCUUAUGCCUCUGCAAAACAAACAUCCCCGGUCGGCUUGGAAAUUUUGCUACGGGCACAAAAUGUCCCUUCCUGUUUACAAGCAGCGGACCGCUUAUCAGCACCCGGUCACCCAAAGCCCCUAGUAAAGCUAAACAGAGCAUGUGGUUGCACCAGCGGAGGGUGAGCCGUUUGAGCCUCCGGGCUAUUCAGCCUCUGAGACUCCGAACCAUUGAAUUAAGGAAGACAGAACCUUACCAACCAUUUCGUCAUCGGGCGUGGAACGAAUUUCUAUGAAAAUAUCGAGAUUUGGGGCUGAGACACAUGCACAACGAGAGAACCCGUUUCGUC